UUUGUCUCUUGACCCUUUACCCUU
RNAcentral lists this small nuclear RNA (24 nucleotides) under Arabidopsis thaliana (thale cress). RNAcentral describes it as "snRNA_05868". Lineage: Eukaryota; Viridiplantae; Streptophyta; Magnoliopsida; Brassicales; Brassicaceae. The record is from RNAcentral.